RNAcentral lists this unclassified non-coding RNA (391 nucleotides) under soil metagenome. RNAcentral's name for it is "partial contains 5.8S ribosomal RNA, internal transcribed spacer 2, and large subunit ribosomal RNA". The stretch from base 1 to 122 matches the Rfam family "5.8S ribosomal RNA", at positions 35 to 154 of the family's 154-position model. The record is from RNAcentral.
GAUGAAGAACGUAGCGAAAUGCGAUACUUGGUGUGAAUUGCAGAAUCCCGUGAACCAUCGAGUCUUUGAACGCAAGUUGCGCCCGAAGCCAUUAGGCCGAGGGCACGCCUGCCUGGGCGUCACACGUCGUUGCCCCCCCAUCUACUCCUUCGGGAUUGCGGGGGGCGGAUGAUGGCCUCCCGUGCGCCUCGUCGCGCGGUUGGCAUAAAUGCCAAGUCCUCGGCGACGCACGCCACGACAAUCGGUGGUUGCGAAACCUCGGUUGCCCGUCGUGUGCGGUCGUCGCGCAUCGAGGGCUCGAAAAAAUUGCCGGGCUCCGGCUCGGCUUUCAACGCGACCCCAGGUCAGGCGGGGUUACUCGCUGAAUUUAAGCAUAUCAAUAAGCGGAGGA